UAUGAAUCGUGUAUGGUGUG
This 20-nucleotide unclassified non-coding RNA is filed under the name Mus musculus (house mouse). Its description in RNAcentral is "oocyte_clustered_small_RNA11334". Lineage: Eukaryota; Metazoa; Chordata; Mammalia; Rodentia; Muridae. The record is from RNAcentral.